AGGGUCUCAAUACUCCCACCGAGGUUUCUAGCAGUAUAGGAAUGAAAGAAGAAGAAAACAAAAAUCCAAGAAACAUAGGUCAUUCAUUCCAUGUGUUUGCAUCAAAAAGAAAAAUCAAUCUAGCAUCCUCAUGUAAACAUAUGUUCUUCAUAUACAAAGCUACUUAUUUAUUCCCGGCAACAAUUUGAUGUUAGGAUGAAAAAAUACAUCAACUAGGCAUUUUUGAUAACUUAAACAUUGCGCAUAUUUAGGUAUAUAUCCUUUUAUGAUAUGGUUUGUGGUAACUUUAUUUACUGUCACGAUUGCAUUAAACCAAUUGUG
This 321-nucleotide long non-coding RNA is filed under the name Capsella grandiflora. RNAcentral's name for it is "long non-coding RNA (CGRA_LNC000458)". The record is from RNAcentral. Lineage: Eukaryota; Viridiplantae; Streptophyta; Magnoliopsida; Brassicales; Brassicaceae.